AGCUCUGCACAGUGGCAGUAUCGUAGCCAAUGAGGUUUAUCCGAGGCACGAUUAUUGCUAAUUGAAAGAGCUGGCUAAGCCUGAAUUUUUACAAGGUGUGAUUUGUAAAGAUGGUCCUGAAAUCAC
This 126-nucleotide small nuclear RNA is filed under the name Oryctolagus cuniculus (rabbit). RNAcentral's name for it is "U4 spliceosomal RNA". The stretch from base 1 to 69 matches the Rfam family "U4 spliceosomal RNA". Rfam says of the family: U4 small nuclear RNA (U4 snRNA) is a component of the major U2-dependent spliceosome. The structure of U4 snRNA from yeast and human has been reported. Lineage: Eukaryota; Metazoa; Chordata; Mammalia; Lagomorpha; Leporidae. The record is from Rfam by way of RNAcentral.